CCCUUCUCAGGGUCGCAUCUGGAGAGUUUCCAAUACUCUACCAGUGUCGGGUCCAGGAGGGAGAGGCAAGCAGAAACCUACCCAUUCCAUUUCCAGCUUGGGCAGUGGCUAGCUAGUGGAAGGCCGUCUGCUACAAAU
Small nucleolar RNA from Ornithorhynchus anatinus (platypus), 138 nucleotides. The record is from RefSeq and is a predicted model, not a curated record. NCBI's taxonomy places the organism in Eukaryota, Metazoa, Chordata, Mammalia, Monotremata, Ornithorhynchidae.